RNAcentral lists this ribosomal RNA (391 nucleotides) under uncultured bacterium. Its description in RNAcentral is "bacterial SSU rRNA". It matches the Rfam family "Bacterial small subunit ribosomal RNA", at positions 28 to 421 of the family's 1533-position model. The record is from RNAcentral.
GACGAACGCUGGCGGCGUGCUUAACACAUGCAAGUCGAGCGGUAAGGCCCUUUCGGGGGUACACGAGCGGCGAACGGGUGAGUAACACGUGGGUGACCUGCCCUUAGCUCUGGGAUAAGCCUGGGAAACUGGGUCUAAUACCGGAUAUGACUCCAUGACGCAUGUUGUGGGGUGGAAAGCCUUGUGCGGCUAGGGAUGGGCCCGCGGCCUAUCAGCUUGUUGGUGGGGUGAUGGCCUACCAAGGCGACGACGGGUAGCCGGCCUGAGAGGGCGACCGGCCACACUGGGACUGAGACACGGCCCAGACUCCUACGGGAGGCAGCAGUGGGGAAUCUUGCGCAAUGGGCGAAAGCCUGACGCAGCGACGCCGCGUGGGGAUGACGGCCUGUGU